UUUUUUUUUUUUUUUUUUUUGUCUUUUUGUCUUUUUGCUAUUUCUUUGGGCCGCUCCCUCGGCAUAUGGAGGUUCCCAGGCUAGGGGUCGAAUCAGUGCUGUAGCCACCAGCCUACACCAGAGCCACAGCAACGCGGGAUCCGAGCCGCGUCUGCAACCUACACCACAGCUCACGGCAACGCCGGAUCGUUAACCCACUGAGCAAGGGCAGGGACCGAACCCGAAACCUCAUGGUUCCUAGUCGGAUUCGUUAACCACUGCGCCACGACGGGAACUCCGAAAAUAAAGCUUUGAAUAGUGUUGGAGUGUGUGACACAAACAUUACUGACAAAGAUAUGUUGCAGGUUGAUUUUUAUCUAAUAUAUAAGUAUGACAAGUAAACAAUACAUGGAUAUGAUUCAAUAUGUGCUGUAUUCAGAAUGCAUGUCUAAUCUGCUUAAAAGAAACCAAUCACAUAACUAUAUGUAGCCUUUAUAGACUGGCACUAGUAACACCAGUCAACAAAGAAAAAUUCUUUACUCUAGUUGCACGACUAAUUUUUACAAAGAGUGAAAAAUUCAGUGAAAAAUGCUGAUUAAAAAUAGCUUGGGAGUUCCCAUCAUGGUGCAGCAGAAACGAAUCUGACUAGGAACCAUGAGGCUGUGGGUUUGAUCCCGCAGCCUCAUUCAGUAGGUUAAGGAUCUGGCAUUGCCGUGAGCUGUGGUGUAGGUCACAGAUGAGGCUUGGAUCCCAUGUUGCUGUGGCUGUGGUGUAGGCUGGCAGCUGUAGCUCCGAUUUGACCCCUAACUUCCAUUUGCUGUGUGUGUGACCCUAAAAGGCAAAAAAAAAAAAAAAGAAAAGAAAGAAAGAAAAAAACAACAAACCAAUAGUUUCGCUGGAGUUCCUUUCGUGGCUCAGUGAUAAAGAACCCAACUAGUAGUCAUAAGGAGCAAUGUGCACAGAUAUAUUAAGGUGCAGAAAAAUGAAAUUAUAUGAGAAUCCUGGUUUUCUCUGCCCAAAUAGUAAGAAAAGCCCAAUCAUCUGAUAAUCCAUAAAAAGAGAGAGACACUGCAAGAAGAGAGAAUAAGAGUGCUGGUAAAGAGAGCUCAGAUUCCAUUUCAAAGAAAAGAUUUGGCAAACACCAAGGGGGGAGGAGGGGAGAGAUGGGGGAAGGAUUGAAAAUUUUAAGAUACUGAUAAUCUAGUACCCAUUGAAAAAGAGUAGAAUCAAAACAGAACUAACGACACUGAGUUGGAAGAUCUGGGCUAAAUAUUUAUCCCAGUUCUGCAAUUUAGGCAAAUGACCUUCACUAAAUCCUUUACUUCGUCUCUCUACUUCUCAGCUUCUGAAUUUAUAAAACAAAAAUAAUACAUGUCCCACCUGUAACAAAGGUUGUUAUAAGGGUCAAAGAGAUUAUGUAAAAGCACUCUGAAUAAUAUAAAAGCCCAUAAAAUAGUCAAGAACAACUUAAGAUAACUCAAAAGGAUCACUUUUAUUUUUAUUUAUUUCUUUAUUUUGCUUUUUAGGGCCACACCUAUGGCAUAUGGAGGUUCCCAGUUCAAGAAAGCAGACUGAGCUCAUGUGUUUAAUCUCCCCUCUUCCCUUCCAAAUUCCCACCAAUAGAACAGUAAAGGGCAUAAUCCAUUGAGAAGAGGAUAGGGACCACAGGAGACCAAAUUUUGAUAAUUUUCUGGAUGACAGGUAGCAAACGAGACUACACUGACAAAUAUAUGAUAGCGGAGGAGACCCAACUUAAAGAAUGACAAAGAGGUGCAAUAGAAGCAGAAGUCAGCUUUCCCAGCAAAGAGUGGGAGAUGCCCCAAGCUUAGACAGUGAACAGCAACAAGAAAUGGGGCAAUAAAUAAAAGAAGGCUUAAGUAACACCUGGGCCAUUUGGUCCUUCUCCACACCUUAUAGGACAAAGCCAGACAACCAUUCUCCAAGAAUAAUUAAAAUGUAAAAUUAAAAGUAUAACAAAUAGAGUUGGGGAUACUAUCUCUUCUUUAUAUAAUGAAAGUCAAGAAAUAAUAUCUCAUGUUGAUAGACUCAAAAUUAAAGAAUAUAUUAUUUGUCUUUUUUUUUCCUGUCCUUUCCAGGGCUGCACCCAUGGCACAUCGAGGCUCCCAGGCCAGGGGUCCAAUCUGAGCCAUAGCCGACGGCCUACACUAGAGCCACAGCAAUGCGGGAUCUGAGCCGCGUCUGCAACCUACACCACAGCUCAUGGCAACACCGGAUGCCCAACCCACCGAGCAAGGCCAAGGAUUGAAUCCACAACUUCAUGGUUCCUAGUUGGAUUCGUUGACCACUGAGCCAUGACAGGAACUCCUGUCUUUUGUCUUUUUAGGGCCAUACCCGCAGCAUAUGGAGGUUCCCAGGCUAGGGGUUGAAUUGGAGCUGUAGCUGCCUGCCACCACAGCCAGAGCAACUCAAGAUCAGAGAUGUUCCGACUAGGAACCAUGAGGUUGCGGGUUUGAUCCCUGGCCUUGCUCGGUGGGUUAAGGAUCCAGCGUUGCCGUGAGCUGUGGUGUAGGUUACAGACACGGCUCAGAUCCUGCAUUGCUGUGGCUCUGGUGUGGGCCAGUGGCUACAGCUCCGAUUGGACCCCUAGCCUGGGACCCUCCAUAUGCUGCGGGAGAGGCCCAAGGAAUGGCAAAAAGACAAAAAAAAAAAAAAAAAAAAGACAAAAGACCAAAAAAAAAUUGUGAUUUAAACAUACAGUGGGUAGCUAGCAGGAAAACAAAAAACAGUAAGAUUAAGUGUGUUCUCCUCUGAAUCGUAAGACUAUAGGAAAGAAAAAAGAAGCUACAGAACUUUUCUCAUUUGUGAAAAGGGAACACUUUUAUAUGAAAAUUACUCUCUAACUACUUGGAAAAGAUUCUUCCAAAAUGGACUGACCCAGAAAGUUAGCCUGAGGGACAUAAAAUCUGACCAUCUACUAGGAUAUCUUUCAACCUUUAGGAAAAAAAACAGACAUAACUCUUCAGGUCUUGAGAGCAAAUUAUCUUCCUAAGCAUACAAGUAAGGAAAAAGGAAUGGAACUGAGAAAUAAGGAAGAUUUUAUCUUUCAGCAUUUUGAUAAAAAAUGAGCCAGAAUGAGGGGCUGUAAUUCCCUAAUCCUUCAGGCUAAAGAAUGGCAAUUGGGAACAGUGUUUUCAACCUCAAAUUCCUAUUCUGGAAGUUGUUAAUCAGCUUGAAUGGUGGAUGGCUUAAUUAUAUAAGGACCACAUUAAUGUCUCAAAGGAGGGAGAGUGAUCUGAUAGGAGGUUUUAAUUUGAAACACUCUUCAUAAAAUUAAAAAUGAAUGCCAAACAGACUAUAAUCUCUGC
RNAcentral lists this long non-coding RNA (3305 nucleotides) under Sus scrofa (pig). RNAcentral describes it as "lncRNA (ENSSSCG00030073087.1)". Lineage: Eukaryota; Metazoa; Chordata; Mammalia; Artiodactyla; Suidae. The record is from RNAcentral.